This 497-nucleotide ribosomal RNA is filed under the name uncultured bacterium. Its description in RNAcentral is "partial 16S ribosomal RNA". It matches the Rfam family "Bacterial small subunit ribosomal RNA", at positions 28 to 507 of the family's 1533-position model. The record is from RNAcentral.
GAUGAACGCUGGCGGCGUGCCUAAUACAUGCAAGUCGAGCGAACGGACGCGAAUCUUGCUUCUCUCAUGUUAGCGGCGGGCGUGUGAAUAACACGUGGAUACCCUACCUAUCAGACUGAUAUGACUUCGGGAAUCCGGCUCUAAUACCGUAUGAUAUUUUGAACCGCAUUGUUCAUAGGUGAAAGACGGCCUUGCGGUCACUUCUCGCUGGAUCCGCGCUGCAUUAGCUAGUUGUUAAGGUAACGGCUUACCAAGGCAACGAUGCAUAACCGAGCUGAGAGGGUGAUAGGCCACACGGGAACUGAGACACGGUCAAGACUCCUAAGAGAGGCAGCAGUAGGGAAUCUGCCGCAAUGGGCGAAAGCAUGACGGAGCAAGGCCGCGUGAGUGAUGAAGGUCUUCGGAGCGUAAAAAUCUGUUAUUAGGGAAGAACAUAUGUGUAAGUAACUGUGCAGAGCGUGACGGUACCUAAUCAGAAAGCCACGGCUAACUACGUG